AUCAGAACAAUUAGUGCUAUUAGAAUCGUCAGUGUCGACAAUUCGUCAAUUAUUAAGAAAAAAAAAAAUAAUAAGAAGAAGGAAAGCAGAAUCCCGAGAAUUGUUUUAGCAGGUAAACCAAUACCUACGGAUCAUAAUGAAUCGUUGGGAAGGAAAAGUCGCGGUCGUGACUGGUUCCGCAUCCGGAAUCGGUAAAGCGAUUACGCGUGCUUUACUUGAAAGGAAGAUAAUCGUGGUUGGUUUGGAUAUUCAGAACGAGAAACAGAAAGAAAUGGCUAACAAUAGAGAGAAUGCGACGAAUGGAUAUUAUCCUCUUCAUUGCGACAUUACCAAUGAGGACGAGUUGGACGCUGUUUUUUUAUUUGUCAAAAAGAAAUUUACCGGAGUUGAUAUUAUGGUGAAUAAUGCCGGUGUUAUAGAUUUUCAACGCAUUAUUGAAAGCGACAGGAAGACAUUUGAAAGGCUGUUAAAUAUUAAUGUACUCGCAAUGGCUGUGUGUAUGAACCGUGCAGUACGCUCGAUGCGAGAGAGGAACGUCGAAGGGCAUGUUUUCAAUAUCAACAGUGUUUUAGGACAGAAACUAUUAAUACCUUUUUUAUCCGACGUCGAUGGCUUUAACGGAUGGAAUUUGUAUCCUGCUUCUAAACAUGCCGCAGUUGCAUUAACUCAUACAGUCAGAGAAGAAUUGUGUCUCCUUAAAGCAUCCAUUCGAGUUACAAGUAUUUGUCCAGGUAUCGUGAAAACUAAUCUAUCCAGUAAAUUCCCGGUCAUUAAAGAAUCAGUUGAUAAACUCUCGACACUUUUACCGGAAGACGUUGCCGAUGCUCUCAUUUAUGCACUUGGAACACGUCCCGAGGUUCAGAUUCUUAGAUAUAAGGAACGAACGGAGAGAAGAUCCAAUGAAUAAAUUAUGCUAGUUUGCUUAUGAAUAUUUGGGUAGUAAAAUUUGACUGGCAACGCGAUAGAUUUGAGGUAGUCCACGGUCGUUCAGGCAUGCAAGCGAGCUCGUGUAUGUCACGGCGUGCAAGUGAGGCGACGCAAGCCAGUGGUGAUGGUGUGGAGGACGAUGGGGGUUGCGGCACAAGAGGGUGGGAAGAGGAAGCGACGGUGAAUUUACGUGAAGCUAGCAACACUUUCCUUCUCGCAACGAAUAGCGAAACGAGAUAUCGAUCGGUUGUUACAAAGGAAGUAUACACGGAGAAAAUCAAAUUUUACGGUACUCCGUAAAUAGACUUUUAUGGAUUAGAUUUUUAUGAAGACGACGAUAUAACAUAGGUUAGAUCAUCCGAUUAUUACGAAUCUAAUAAUAACUUUGUUUUCAUUUU
RNA transcript from Vespula pensylvanica (western yellowjacket), 1325 nucleotides. It is a transcript of the gene named farnesol dehydrogenase-like, with no coding region annotated. The transcript has 7 exons. Lineage: Eukaryota; Metazoa; Arthropoda; Insecta; Hymenoptera; Vespidae. The record is from RefSeq and is a predicted model, not a curated record.